Molecule: ribosomal RNA, 253 nt
Filed under: uncultured bacterium
Lineage: Bacteria
Description: partial 16S ribosomal RNA
Rfam family: Bacterial small subunit ribosomal RNA
Source: RNAcentral
UACGUAGGGUGCAAGCGUUGUCCGGAAUUAUUGGGCGUAAAGAGCUUGUAGGCGGUUUGUCGCGUCUGCUGUGAAAUUUCGGGGCUCAACCCCGAACUUGCAGUGGGUACGGGCAGACUAGAGUGUGGUAGGGGAGACUGGAAUUCCUGGUGUAGCGGUGAAAUGCGUAGAUAUCGUAAGGAAGACCAGUGGCGAAGGCGGGUCUCUGGGCCGGUACUGACGCUGAGGAGCGAAAGCGUGGGUAGCAAACAGG